Molecule: microRNA precursor, 104 nt
Organism: Cercocebus atys (sooty mangabey)
Lineage: Eukaryota; Metazoa; Chordata; Mammalia; Primates; Cercopithecidae
Source: Ensembl
AAUUGUCAGCAGGCAGUUAUCUAAGGAUGCAGGAGAGGAGGGGGCUUCUUUUUGACACCUACUUCAUCAGGUGCUCCUCAGAUCAGAGCCUUGCAGGUCAGGCC